Molecule: ribosomal RNA, 543 nt
Filed under: Lactarius sp. HL-2018a
Lineage: Eukaryota; Fungi; Basidiomycota; Agaricomycetes; Russulales; Russulaceae
Description: LSU rRNA
Rfam family: Eukaryotic large subunit ribosomal RNA
Source: RNAcentral
AACUGCGAGUGAAGCGGGAAAAGCUCAAAUUUAAAAUCUGACGGUUCUUUGGCCGUCCGAGUUGUAAUUUAGAGAAGCGUCUUCCGCGCCAGACCGUGCACAAGUCUCCUGGAAUGGAGCGUCAUAGAGGGUGAGAAUCCCGUCUUUGGCACGGAUCCUUGGUGCUUUUGUGAUGCGCUCUCGAAGAGUCGAGUUGUUUGGGAAUGCAGCUCAAAAUGGGUGGUGAACUCCAUCUAAAGCUAAAUAUUGGCGAGAGACCGAUAGCGAACAAGUACCGUGAGGGAAAGAUGAAAAGCACUUUGGAAAGAGAGUGAAACAGUACGUGAAAUUGUUGAAAGGGAAACGCUUGAAGUCAGUCGCGUCUACCGAGACUCAGCCUUGCCUUGGCUUGGUGUACUUCUCGGCCUGACGGGUCAGCAUCAAUUUGGCCCCUCGGAUAAUGGCAAGGGAAAGGUGGCACCUUUGCGGGUGUGUUAUAGUCUCCUGUCGCAUGCGAGGGGGGAGAUUGAGGAACUCAGCACGCACCUCGGUGUUGGGGCUUCG